UAGGGAAUCUUCGGCAAUGGACGGAAGUCUGACCGAGCAACGCCGCGUGAGUGAAGAAGGUUUUCGGAUCGUAAAGCUCUGUUGUAAGAGAAGAACGAGUGUGAGAGUGGAAAGUUCACACUGUGACGGUAUCUUACCAGAAAGGGACGGCUAACUACGUGCCAGCAGCCGCGGUAAUACGUAGGUGGCAAGCGUUGUCCGGAAUUAUUGGGCGUAAAGCGCGCGCAGGUGGUUUAAUAAGUCUGAUGUGAAAGCCCACGGCUCAACCGUGGAGGGUCAUUGGAAACUGUUAAACUUGAGUGCAGGAGAGAAAAGUGGAAUUCCUAGUGUGGCGGUGAAAUGCGUAGAGAUUAGGAGGAACACCAGUGGCGAAGGCGGCUUUUUGGCCUGUAACUGACACUGAGGCGCGAAAGCGUGGGGAGCAAACAGGAUUAGAUACCCUGGUAGUCCACGCCGUANCGAUGAGUGCUAAGUGUUGGUCUCAUAAGAGAUCAGUGCUGCAGCUAACGCAUUAAGCACUCCGCCUGGGGAGUACGACCGCAAGUU
RNAcentral lists this ribosomal RNA (546 nucleotides) under uncultured bacterium. Its description in RNAcentral is "bacterial SSU rRNA". It matches the Rfam family "Bacterial small subunit ribosomal RNA", at positions 355 to 894 of the family's 1533-position model. The record is from RNAcentral.